GAUGAACGCUGGCGGCGUGCCUAAUACAUGCAAGUCGAGCGAACAGACGAGGAGCUCGCUCCUCUGACGUUAGCGGCGGACGGGUGAGUAACACGUGGAUAACCUACCUAUAAGACUGGGAUAACUUCGGGAAACCGGAGCUAAUACCGGAUAAUAUAUUGAACCGCAUGGUUCAAUAGUGAAAGACGGUUUUGCUGUCACUUAUAGAUGGAUCCGCGCCGCACUAGCUAGUUGGUAAGGUAACGGCUUACCAAGGCAACGAUGCGUAGCCGACCUGAGAGGGUGAUCGGCCACACUGGAACUGAGACACGGUCCAGACUCCUACGGGAGGCAGCAGUAGGGAAUCUUCCGCAAUGGGCGAAAGCCUGACGGAGCAACGCCGCGUGAGUGAUGAAGGUCUUCGGAUCGUAAAACUCUGUUAUUAGGGAAGAACAAAUGUGUAAGUAACUAUGCACGUCUUGACGGUACCUAAUCAGAAAGCCACGGCUAACUACGUG
This 497-nucleotide ribosomal RNA is filed under the name uncultured bacterium. RNAcentral's name for it is "partial 16S ribosomal RNA". It matches the Rfam family "Bacterial small subunit ribosomal RNA", at positions 28 to 507 of the family's 1533-position model. The record is from RNAcentral.